Long non-coding RNA from Daphnia carinata, 1791 nucleotides. RefSeq lists it as uncharacterized. The record is from RefSeq and is a predicted model, not a curated record. The transcript is spliced from 2 exons. Lineage: Eukaryota; Metazoa; Arthropoda; Branchiopoda; Diplostraca; Daphniidae.
UUCAGGAUCCGUUGUCAAGUCUCAAGUGCAACUGUCAACUCGACAUUCUCUGUUGUGCUCACAAAAGGACCAAUUUAAAUAUCGUGGUUUGAAUUAUUAAAUUAUUCACAACUGACAAGUUCGUUCUGUAGUCGAGUCUUAGUCAUCAAAGUUUUAAUUGACUUCCGUCUUCUUGCAACGUCAAAGUGGAACGAUGACAAGUGGGCUGUUUCUACUGCCUUGUGACUGGCCGAAUUGCUAUCAAUCUUUUGAGAGAAACGUUCAAACGCCAGUCUCGUUAGUCACCAGACUUUUGGUUCCGAUCCCGUUGGCCGCAACAGUCGAGUAAUUGCAAUCGUUGUGACGGUUGGCUACCGAUGAAGCACCUUGAUGAGCACUGCCUGUGGCCAACCUGCCAGAAGACGCCGACGGGGUGAACAGACCCUGAAAGGUCUCCCUGAACUGUGCAAACACAAAACACAGGGGUGGUAUAAUAAUCGACUAUUGUCACUCAACAGGAGCAGUACCAGAUCCUGCACUUUGCAAUGAAUACUUGCCUGACGACUCAUGCCGCAAUAGAUGGCGAAGUUGAUUGGAUACGAUAGCGAAAUGAAAAAAUUUGUGAACAGGAUCAGGACAUUUAUGACGUCAUAGUCGAGGACUCGCAGCUCAAGGGAGGCAUCGAAGAUGUGCAGGACAGUCAAAACGGCCAAUGGAAUUUCGACGACCAGGAAGCAGGAUACAACAACAAUCAACAUGAGCGUCGUGCAAUUGGAAUCUCUUAAUUUUCGGCAUUCGCUGGCUUUGCGAUUUUCCUUGAAAAGCUUAUCUCGCUUUUGCUGGGCGCGACGCAGCGCUCCGAAUAAAAGGACGUUGAGCAGAACCAGCGAGGCGCAAGGUCCCAGAUGCACGCAAACAACCCGGAACCAAAAGUAAAGGUUGUAGUAUACCACCUAGAUUUGAACUUGAUAUUAUCACUUUGUCUUUGGAUGUGUAACCGUUUGGGUUUUAUUGUGAUGAAAUUACCUGGCUGAAAAUGUCAGUGACCCAAUCAGCUUCGUAUUUGCAGCAGGUUGUCACAACUCCUUCACCUUCCCAGUAGAUAUCUACCGGCAGGUACACCUUUAUAUCAAAAAUGAAAUUUAAACAUUUUCCACUGAAAAUACAUCGUUUUGUACAAAUUUCACCACGGCAGGUAUUUUUUGUGGGCAUGGAAAGGUUUACUGGUUUUCGUCCUCUCUCCCUUGAGAAAUUUACGACUCCUUUUGAUUGAAAGUAAAAACGUGCACGAAAGAGACUUCCAUUUUCUCUUGUACAAAGCAAUCUUUGGAAUCUUAUAACAGACCAAAAAGAACGUAGCGACACAAUUGCUGGGCAACUACAAGUCUUCUUUAAUAACUUGUAUAUUUUCUCGUCUGCUAUAUCAAAUCAGCCAUUUGUCUCCCUCGGCAUAAAGAUCUAACAUACGAGAACAUUACGUUGGAGACCUGCAUCCGAGUAUCGCCAUCUGUCCACUUGUAGUACCGAAAAACUUGAAAAUAAAAAAGAAAUGUCGCAGAAACGGGCAGAAAUAUUGUGGCAAUUGGAUCUUACCACAUAAAAGACCUACAUAUAAAACAAAAAAAUAUUUUUUGCUUUACCUUCUUGUUAUGAUCUAUUUUUUUUUCAGCCCUUUGAACAACUUUUAUUGGACUUGUACGUUCACCAAAAAUGCAGCAUGAUUGCUGAUGAAGUCUAGAGUGCUUUUGCUUUUUUCUGAUCGGCUUUUCGUCGACGCAAAACUGUGUGUAACCUAAUACACAGUCAAGCGUA